UGCAAGUCGAGCGAUGAAGUUUCCUUCGGGAAACGGAUUAGCGGCGGACGGGUGAGUAACACGUGAGCAACCUGCCUCAAAGAGGGGGAUAGCCUCCCGAAAGGGAGAUUAAUACCGCAUAAUAUCAGGAUUUCACAUGAUUUUCUGAUUAAAGGAGUAAUCCGCUUUGAGAUGGGCUCGCGGCGCAUUAGCUAGUUGGUGAGGUAACGGCUCACCAAGGCGACGAUGCGUAGCCGACCUGAGAGGGUGAUCGGCCACAUUGGGACUGAGACACGGCCCAGACUCCUACGGGAGGCAGCAGUGGGGAAUAUUGCGCAAUGGACGAAAGUCUGACGCAGCAACGCCGCGUGGGUGAUGAAGGUCUUCGGAUUGUAAAGCCCUGUCUUCGAGGACGAUAAUGACGGUACUCGAGGAGGAAGCCACGGCUAACUACGUGCCAGCAGCCGCGGUAAUACGUAGGUGGCAAGCGUUGUCCGGAUUUACUGGGCGUAAAGAGUGUGUAGGCGGAUAAUUAAGUCAGGUGUGAAAUCCCGAGGCUCAACCUCGGAGGUGCAUUUGAUACUGGUUAUCUAGAGUGCAGGAGAGGAGAGUGGAAUUCCUAGUGUAGCGGUGAAAUGCGUAGAGAUUAGGAAGAACACCAGUGGCGAAGGCGACUCUCUGGACUGUAACUGACGCUGAGACACGAAAGCG
This 690-nucleotide ribosomal RNA is filed under the name uncultured bacterium. RNAcentral describes it as "bacterial SSU rRNA". It matches the Rfam family "Bacterial small subunit ribosomal RNA", at positions 56 to 761 of the family's 1533-position model. The record is from RNAcentral.